Molecule: ribosomal RNA, 421 nt
Filed under: uncultured eukaryote
Lineage: Eukaryota
Description: SSU rRNA
Rfam family: Eukaryotic small subunit ribosomal RNA
Source: RNAcentral
CGAUAGCGUAUAUGUAAGUUGUUGCAGUUAAAAGCUCGUAGUUGGAUUUCGGAUGUGAACGACCGGUCCGGCGUUGCGGUGUGCACUAGACGUUUGUAUCGUGUUGUCGGGGACGCGCUCCUGACCUUAACUGGGAGGGACGCGGAGUCGGCGCUGUUACUUUGAUAAAAAUAGAGUGUUCAAAGCAGGCAACCGCUCUGAAUACAUUAGCAUGGAAUAACGCUAUAGGACUCUGGUCCUAUUGUGUUGGUCUUCGGGACCGGAGUAAUGAUUAAGAGGGACAGUUGGGGGCAUUCGUAUUUCAUUGUCAGAGGUGAAAUUCUUGGAUGUACGAAAUACGAACUUCUGCGAAAGCAUUUGCCCAGGAUGUUUUCAUUAAUCAAGAACGAAAGUUGGGGGCUCGAAGAUGAUCAGAUACCGU